GCUGAAAACACCGUUCGUUCGAUCACCGAAGUUAAGCAUCGUAGAGCCAGGUCAGUACUUAGAUGGGGACCGCUUGGGAACACCUGGUACUGUAAG
This is a non-coding RNA of Acanthosepion pharaonis, 96 nucleotides long. The record is from the annotation of a GenBank genome assembly. Lineage: Eukaryota; Metazoa; Mollusca; Cephalopoda; Sepiida; Sepiidae.